Dermochelys coriacea (leatherback sea turtle) is the source of this 1280-nucleotide long non-coding RNA. RefSeq lists it as uncharacterized. The transcript has 4 exons. Lineage: Eukaryota; Metazoa; Chordata; Testudines; Dermochelyidae. The record is from RefSeq and is a predicted model, not a curated record.
GGGUUAAAAACACAGAGAACCUGUUUAUAAAAGUAAUGUAUAGUGAUAAAAAAGUUUUCCCCCUUGGGUUUAGGCUAGCACUGGUCAUUUUUUUAGUAAGGACAGUUUGAAACAGCAGGCUUUUGCAGCAAAGCAGCUGUCAGCAAAAACAGCCUCUGUAAGCCAGUAGAUCAGAGAUAAGAAGGCUGCUUCUUUGCCUGCUUUUUAACAAAUACAAGUGAAAGUUCUAUUAAGUUUUGUUGAGGAAUAAACACUUUCAAAGACAAGCCUAUAUGAAGACCAAGCCCUUUAUUUAACAUUUUUACAUGCGUGUUUCAAUUUAAAAAAAUGAGCAUGCAGAAAACGCCCCAGAGUGAAAACCACAGAACCUUAGUAACAGCUAGUUUAUAUUCCCCUUAUUCUGUAACCCAGUAGGUCAGAAAGAAGUUUAUUUUCCUCCCCACUUUUUAACAAAUCCAUGUGAAAGUUAUAGUAAGCUUUUAUUUUCCUACGGCUUUUAGAUUUAAGUAUGAAUUUUUCUGUUGCAUUAUCAGAAUGUCUUUGUUUUUAAAUGUUUGCAACCCAUGUGCUGAGACACUGGUACAAGCUCCUCUGUUUGUUUUGGGUCCACAUAUUUUAUUAAAAUAAUACAACACAGGCUGGAGCUGGAGCUUUCUCUACAUUUUAAAAACAGAUAGUACAGGCCUAUAGAAUAAGCGUCCCCCGCUGUUUUGGCAUUCUGUGGAGCAUCUGGUUUUGGGUCUGGGCAAAAACAAAUCAGGCCCAAACUGUUCGGUCCUUCGGAGCUGUCGGUGUCCAAAAUCUCCAAGUCCUCUGAAGAACCAUCGCUCAGCUGCUGAAAAAUUGACAGUAAGAAAGGCGUGUCCCAUAGCAGCGACCGUAUGACGUCUCUUCACGAGAAGCUUGAUUGCCGGUGUUGGCCAGGGCCUUUGAGGUGCAGCCAUCUUUAAUCAUCAGACCCGUUUAAAUAGAAGCUCCUCCUUACAACGGCAGCCCUAAAUAAUUGGCUAAGAGUAUCAGGCGCCCUCCCUCCCUAAAAGGCUCCGGAUUUCGUUUGUCGCUUCUGCUAUAACUGCUGUCCUGGGAACGGUGGAUUUGGGUUCUGCUGCUCUUCAUGACCCCCUUUGCCGGUCACACUACGGGCACCGCAAACCUCCCCAACCCUGCCUGGGAGCAGAGCCACGCCAGCCUGGGGCCGAAAUCGCCUGCACCGAGCAACUGGGCUCGGGAAGGGCGGACUCUAACUCUCCUGCUCAACCCCAAUAAAGUGUCUGUCUAGA